RNAcentral lists this long non-coding RNA (439 nucleotides) under Anser brachyrhynchus (Pink-footed goose). Its description in RNAcentral is "lncRNA (ENSABRG00000001843.1)". Lineage: Eukaryota; Metazoa; Chordata; Aves; Anseriformes; Anatidae. The record is from RNAcentral.
CAGCAGAAUUUAAAGGAUGACCAUAGGAUUUCCCUGCCUCUUUACCUUCUCCCUAUAGAAGAAAAUGCAUGAAAAGACCAGAUGUAUUAAUAGCAAAGAUACCUAAAGGAAGAAACUGAAACCAGGAGGAUAAAUAAAGCAGCAAAACUAAACACUUUCAGCUAACAAGGCUGUUGUCAGCUGGGAAAAGAAAGGGUCCAGAUGAAGAAGGAAUCCUUACAAUGAGGUCUGUGUUCAGCAGACAUAUUUGCAUUCUUCAUCUUUGCUUCUUGGUUUUCCAUCCAGCUGCUGCUCUGUGGUAUGUGAUAUAAAAAGAGUGAAGAUUUUAAAUUGGUCCUACCUUUUGCAAGCAAUGCAGCUAUUUUCUGUUUGUUCAGAUAAGACGUUAUAGCAGACAAUUAGCUCUGAAUUUCUAAAGUGUCUUGUUUUUCAAUCUUAU